This 253-nucleotide ribosomal RNA is filed under the name uncultured bacterium. RNAcentral's name for it is "partial 16S ribosomal RNA". It matches the Rfam family "Bacterial small subunit ribosomal RNA", at positions 524 to 776 of the family's 1533-position model. The record is from RNAcentral.
GACGAAGGAUGCAAGCGUUAUCCGGAUUCAUUGGGUUUAAAGGGCGCGUAGGUGGUCUUCUAAGUCAGUGGUGAAAUCUCUCGGCUUAACUGAGAAAUUGCCAUUGAUACUGGAAGACUUGAGUGUAGUUGCCGUUGGCGGAAUAUGACAUGUAGUGGUGAAAUACAUAGAGAUGUCAUAGAACACCGAUUGCGAAGGCAGCUAACGAAACUAUAACUGACACUGAGGCUCGAAAGUGCGGGGAUCAAACAGG